This 468-nucleotide ribosomal RNA is filed under the name uncultured bacterium. RNAcentral's name for it is "partial 16S ribosomal RNA". It matches the Rfam family "Bacterial small subunit ribosomal RNA", at positions 28 to 507 of the family's 1533-position model. The record is from RNAcentral.
GACGAACGCUGGCGGCGUGCUUAACACAUGCAAGUCGAACGGAAAGGCCCUGCUUUUGUGGGGUGCUCGAGUGGCGAACGGGUGAGUAACACGUGAGUAACCUGCCCUUGACUUUGGGAUAACUUCAGGAAACUGGGGCUAAUACCGGAUAGGAGCUCCUGCUGCAUGGUGGGGGUUGGAAAGUUUCGGCGGUUGGGGAUGGACUCGCGGCUUAUCAGCUUGUUGGUGGGGUAGUGGCUGACCAAGGCUUUGACGGGUAGCCGGCCUGAGAGGGUGAACGGCCACAUUGGGACUGGGAUACGGCCCAGACUCCUACGGGAGGGAGCAGUGGGGAAUAUUGCACAAUGGGCGGAAGGCUGACGCAGCAACGCCGCGUGCGGGAUGACGGCCUUCGGGUUGUAAACUGAUUUCGCCUGUGACGAAGCGUGAGUGACGGUAAUGGGUAAAGAAGCACCGGCUAACUACGUG